This 893-nucleotide small RNA is filed under the name Pan troglodytes (chimpanzee). RNAcentral's name for it is "processed transcript". The record is from RNAcentral. Lineage: Eukaryota; Metazoa; Chordata; Mammalia; Primates; Hominidae.
UGUUGCGGGCACCGCAGUCGCCGUGAAGAUGGCGUCUACCAGCCGUUUGGAUGCUCUUCCAAGAGUCACAUGUCCAAACCAUCCAGAUGCGAUUUUAGUGGAGGACUACCGAGCUGGUGAUAUGAUCUGUCCUGAAUGUGGCUUGGUUGUAGGUGACCGGGUUAUUGAUGUGGGAUCUGAAUGGCGAACUUUCAGCAAUGACAAAGCAACAAAAGAUCCAUCUCGAGUUGGAGAUUCUCAGAAUCCUCUUCUGAGUGAUGGAGAUUUGUCUACCAUGAUUGGCAAGGGCACAGGAGCUGCAAGUUUUGACGAAUUUGGCAAUUCUAAGUACCAGAAUCGGAGAACAAUGAGCAGUUCUGAUCGGGCAAUGAUGAAUGCAUUCAAAGAAAUCACUACCAUGGCAGACAGAAUCAAUCUACCUCGAAAUAUAGUUGAUCGAACGAAUAAUUUAUUCAAGCAAGUAUAUGAACAGAAGAGCCUGAAGGGAAGAGCUAAUGAUGCCAUAGCUUCUGCUUGUCUCUAUAUUGCCUGUAGACAAGAAGGGGUUCCUAGGACAUUUAAAGUUUGCAGUUACAUGUGAAUAUGUGAUAAUUUGUUCAGUGUUGCUCACUGACUUCCACUACCAAAGCUCAGUUUAGCUGAAGACUAUACUUAACCCUUUAUUCAUCCAAAAUAUGUGCCGUAUCACGAAUUUCUAAGAAAGAAAUUGGUCGGUGUUUUAAACUUAUUUUGAAAGCGCUAGAAACCAGUGUGGAUUUGAUUACAACUGGGGACUUCAUGUCCAGGUUCUGUUCCAACCUUUGUCUUCCUAAACAAGUGCAGAUGGCAGCUACACAUAUAGCCCGUAAAGCUGUGGAAUUGGACUUGGUUCCCGGGAGGAGCCCCAUCUCUGU